Molecule: long non-coding RNA, 2775 nt
Organism: Scophthalmus maximus (turbot)
Lineage: Eukaryota; Metazoa; Chordata; Actinopteri; Pleuronectiformes; Scophthalmidae
Exons: 2
Source: RefSeq, a predicted model, not a curated record
UAUAUUCUCUUGAAGUCAGAUGAAGCUGAACAUGUAUGACGGGAUUAUUUUUUUCUCGCGCUUUCUUGAAUGUAUUUUUUUCCGCGGUGCAGAAGAUUGAAAACGUGCCUCUGAGACGCCCGGCUCAGAUCAGCUGCUCGUCCGUCGUGACGGCAAAACGUUUGAGGAGAUUUUAAAACAACGUGCCUUUCUCCUCCGCUGGAGAUUAAUCUGACUUCACACCUCGGGAGGUGGAGGAGGAGGAGCAAGAGGAGGAGGAGGAACUCUUCGUCCUUGAGCUUCUCAUGUUAAAUUCUGAAUGUUGGUGUUGUGUUUUCAAGGAUGCAGACGCUCUGGAACUGAAACAUCUGAUGAAACAUGAAAUAAUCUCAGCUCAGUGUUUUCAGUCUUCAGUUUAAAACCAUCACGACUGUGAUUCUUCUCUGCUCUGUUUCUGGGUCAACGUCUGUUCAUUUAAAAACAUAUUAUGGCCAUCGUUCAUGUUCAUAGUUUCCAUCUCGUCUUCCCUCCUCACACCUGCAGGUUCCUCACGUCCUCCCUCCUCCCCCUCACUCUCCUGACAAUUUCUAAUUUAAUAUGAAGAAAAGAACUGCUUUAUUUUCCUCUCCGGCCUCCGGUUGAUGCUUUACACCGUCUUUCAUCACUCCAGUUCUCAGAGCAGCUACUGUACAAAUAUGCCGAGUGGUUGAAUGAAUCAGAUCUGAUUCAUGAUGCCGGUGGAGGCUCUGAGGCGACGGGCAGCAGCGACGUGAUGAUGAGCUCGUCUCAUCCUGAUCCAACAUCGGCAGCUGCUUGUCUCACGCUGAACCCAUUCAUCUUCAUCUGCUCGGCAACAAAUGCAAACUCAUUAAACUGAUAAAUGUCUCCGAGAGUUUGUUUGUGCCUGUCGAGUAUUUUCCACUUGAUGUUUCCGCUCCUGGAACGUGAUGGACGGUCGAGUCCUGAACUUGGAAUUUAUCAGAAGAAACGAUACAAAUACAGAGUUCAAACCACAGACCAGAGGGGGGCGCCACUGAGCCUGUGGGCAACAGGAGAGACAGACUGAAUAAAGAUGGACCAUGUGAUCGCCCCCUGGUGGCUGGCUGCAGUAUAGGUCAUAAGCUCCGCCCCCUGGUGGCUGGCGGCAGUAUACAUCAUGAGCUCCGCCCCCUCCGCGGAGCUCCGCAUCUCGUUCGUUUCCCAGGAAACAAACAUUUAAUGAAACGCCAGCGGGAGGAGAGACGCCGCUGACGAGUCCGUCAAUCAUAGACAUCACAUUUCUGCCUCUGACUGAUCCUCUGAGAGACGCUCGCUCGUUUUAAAUCUGAUAGACCUCCCAUAAGUCUGGGGCUUCUUCUCCUCCGUCUGUUGGUUUGCUCUGAGCCGGACGGAGUUAGUCUGCAGAGACGCUCCGGACUGAAGCAGACAAGGCCAGAGAUCUGAUUCUGUUGCCUCAGAGUCGCAGCAUCAGCAGCCGUCACUGACCCACUCACUCGUCAUCGGUCGAUCAGCUGAUCGAUCGGCCGGAUUUCAAACUGCACAUGAACAACAGCUGCAUGAGAAAAGAUCCGUCUGAUCUGGUCCAGGUUCAGUUUGAUCUUAUCGAGUUAUCUGAUCCUUAGAUUGUUCUUCCUCAAGUCGCUGGUUUGAAGCUUCGAGUCGCUGCAGAGAGUCGACGUCUCGCUGAGAAGCUUUUGUUCUUCUGACAGAGUUAGCAGCCUCUUCUCACUGGCCACGCCCCCAACGAGCAGCACAGAGGCUCAUUACUGCUGCUGCACACACACACACACACACACUCACACACACACACACACACACACUCACACACACAAACACACACACACACACACACACACACACUCACACACACACACACACACACAUACACACACACACUCACACACACACACACACACACACACACACACACUCACACACUCACACACACACACACACUCACACACACUCACACACUCACACACACACAGAAACGCUCACACACAGACUCUUCAUGUUAUACCUCUGAUCUUCCCGCUCUGUCUUGCUGUGUGUGAGGAUUUUAAUUUUUUUAUAAAUAUAUAUAUGUUGCUUCUAAUUCAGUCAUUGGAUAUUAAAGGUUUGUUGUUAAUAUAGAACUGUAAUUGAUUUUUAUCGGUGCUUCCUCGUCUUUAAAUCGUGUUCAUGAUUUCAAUUUAUGGAGAUCCUGCAGAUUUUAUUUUGUGUUUUUAUUCUUCUUUAAGUCUUCAUGUUGUUUUAUAUAUUCCAUGUUGUCCUUAUUGUGCGUCUCUUGUGUUCAGCGGAGCCUCACAGGGACAGUAAUGAUAUUGAUCUUGAUCCUUCAGGUUCAUAAUGUGAAGGAGAAGAGAGUUAUGACAUGUUAUGGAUCUACUUUUCUUUUACAAAAUAAAAGCUGAGGUACCUACACUGGUGAUUUGGUUGGUGGGUAAAGAAGCGUAUGAUUAGUAUACAAUUAGCAUAUGGUUAGCUAACUGUAGUCAUGUUUCCCUCGACAAAUAUUUUCUGCACAUUUUGAAGCAUCAGAUGAGGAAAAGUGGAGGUUGAGAAGGACAAUAUAUGAUCAUAUAUGGUGUAUAUCCUGCAGUGCAUAUCAUAUUGUAUUAGAUGACAGAUAUUGUACAUUACAUGUAAAUUAUACUGCAUUAGGUUUUAUAGCUAUAUAUUAUAUUAUAAAAUAAUAUUGAGUUGUAGUAGAUGUAAGAGAAAAGCAUAAGAUGUAGGAUAAAUAUGAAAUUCAUUUGUAUCUUGUUAUAAAAUAAAGAUUAGUGGUGAUCAGUA